RNAcentral lists this ribosomal RNA (207 nucleotides) under uncultured bacterium. Its description in RNAcentral is "partial 16S ribosomal RNA". It matches the Rfam family "Bacterial small subunit ribosomal RNA", at positions 568 to 774 of the family's 1533-position model. The record is from RNAcentral.
CGCAUAAGCGGCUUAUUAAAUCAAAUAUAAAAUCCCCGGACUCAACCUGGGAACUGCAUCCGAUACUGGCUGGCUAGAGUGUGGUAGAGGGAAGUGGAAUUCCAGGUGUAGCGGUGAAAUGCGUAGAUAUCUGGAGGAACAUCAGUGGCGAAGGCGGCUUCCUGGACCAACACUGACGCUGAGGUGCGAAAGCGUGGGGAGCAAACA